UACGAAGGGGGCUAGCGUUGCUCGGAAUCACUGGGCGUAAAGCGCACGUAGGCGGCUUUCUAAGUCAGGGGUGAAAUCCUGGAGCUCAACUCCAGAACUGCCUUUGAUACUGGAGAGCUUGAGUCCGGAAGAGGUGAGUGGAACUCCGAGUGUAGAGGUGAAAUUCGUAGAUAUUCGGAAGAACACCAGUGGCGAAGGCGGCCCCCUGGCCCGCAACUGACGCUCAUGGUCGAAAGCGUGGGGAGCAAACAGG
RNAcentral lists this ribosomal RNA (253 nucleotides) under uncultured bacterium. Its description in RNAcentral is "partial 16S ribosomal RNA". It matches the Rfam family "Bacterial small subunit ribosomal RNA", at positions 524 to 776 of the family's 1533-position model. The record is from RNAcentral.